Non-coding RNA from Sus scrofa (pig), 233 nucleotides. The record is from RefSeq and is a predicted model, not a curated record. NCBI's taxonomy places the organism in Eukaryota, Metazoa, Chordata, Mammalia, Artiodactyla, Suidae.
GAGGUUCCCUGCUCAGCUCCUGGGGCUCCUCCUGCUCUGGGUCCCAUGAUCCGAUGGGGCCAUUGUGCUGACCCAGACUCCACUCUCCCUGUCAGUCAGCCCUGGAGAGCCGGCCUCCAUCUCCUGCAGGUCCAGUCAGAGCCUCCUACACACUGAUGGAAAGAAUUAUUUGAAUUGGUACCUGCAGAAACCAGGCCAGUCUCCACAGCUCCUGAUCUAUUAUGCUACCAACA